RNAcentral lists this long non-coding RNA (335 nucleotides) under Mytilus galloprovincialis (Mediterranean mussel). The record is from RNAcentral. Lineage: Eukaryota; Metazoa; Mollusca; Bivalvia; Mytilida; Mytilidae.
CUAAGAUUCACGCAAAGAGUGAUUCACUGGUAGUUGCAAAAUUGGAUCUUAUGAGGUUCUAUUGUUUCCUUUCAGGGAAUAAGUGAAAAAAAUGAAAAAAUAUCACUGUUUUGCUACUUGGUUGCUAUGGUAACCGUGCUGUCAUAAAGUACCUAGUUAUUUCGCCCUGAAAACCUGAAAUUUGGCAUAUUUUCUUGAUCUCUUUCACCCUAAUUUCGAAGUAACUUGAAAUAUAUAACAAUAUAAUGUUGAAGUUGAAGACAUGUUCUUAAUAUGUAAGUAUAUUAGGAGCGGGAAACAGUUCUUCAAAUUAUGUUUCCAUGGCAACCAAAUUA